RNAcentral lists this long non-coding RNA (595 nucleotides) under Rattus norvegicus (Norway rat). Its description in RNAcentral is "long non-coding RNA NONRATT019407". Lineage: Eukaryota; Metazoa; Chordata; Mammalia; Rodentia; Muridae. The record is from RNAcentral.
GAAAAUUAUACCAAGACCAAAAGUUCCUGCUAAAAUUGAGGAGCCUCCACCCACUAAAGUUCCUGAACCACCAAAGAAAAUGGUACCAGAGAAGAAAGUUCCUGCACCACCUCCUAAAAAAGUGCCACCAGCCAAAGCACCUGAAGAACCAAAGAAACCGGUUCCAGAAAGGAGAGUUCCUGCAGAAGUGGUUGAGAUAGAAGAACCUCCCCCAACCAAAGUGACCGAAAAGCACAUGAAAAUUACCCAGGAGGAAAAGGUUCUUGUGGCUGUAACUAAAAAGGAGGAGCCUCCGAGAGCAAGAGUGCCAGAGGAACCUAAGAAAGUUGUCCCUGAAGAAAAAUUUCCCAAACUCAAACCUCGAAGAGAGGAGGAGCCACCGGCUAAAGUGACCGAAGUUAGAAAGAGAGCCGUUAAAGAAGAAAAGGUGUCCAUUGAAGUUCCAAAGAGAGAACCCCGCCCCACUAAAGAAGUAACUGUAACAGAAGAGAAGAAAUGGUCUUACACCCGAGAAGAAGAAACUGUUCUGGAACACCGGGAGGAGGAAUACGAGGAUUAUGAGGACUAUGAGGAGUAUAAAGAGUAUGAGGAGUAC